This 782-nucleotide long non-coding RNA is filed under the name Apteryx owenii (little spotted kiwi). Its description in RNAcentral is "lncRNA (ENSAOWG00000007299.1)". Lineage: Eukaryota; Metazoa; Chordata; Aves; Apterygiformes; Apterygidae. The record is from RNAcentral.
AUUUUCUGAAAGGAAUGAAGUGGCUUACAGUCAGCAACCCCCUCCACAGAUAUAACCAUUUCCUGUAUAAAAAGGAGGACAGAGCAGAGAGGAGAGGCAGGCUGGAUGAUGUGACUCCUCAUUUUAGAAGCUGCACAUCUGGAUGCUUACAUGACUGAAUCAUUCCACUAUUUCUCUGUUAGGUGGCAGAAGUUUAUUUCUGUCAGGGAUUUGUGUCAUGAAACAAAUACUGUGGCUUGCUUAUCAUGUCCGGGGAGAGCUUUCCAGGCAGGCUACUGUGAGAAGCCCCUGCCAUGAUCCUGAAAUAUCUUACCAAGGACAGAGCGAUGGAGGAGGUUUGCCUUCCUUACAGUCCAAGGCAGUUGGUGUUAGGGAUCACAGAACAGCAACCAGAUGGAUGGAGGCAGUGUGCCUUCCUGUGUUUGCCAGGAAACUUUGCUCUGUCUUGGGCAAUCCAGGUGUUUGACAACUCCAGAAACACUGAAUUUCUUUGUAUCGAACUCUAUCACAAAAGAUGUUUUGCAGGUUCCUGCCUCAGACCUUCUCUUUGCUGAUAAUAAAGAUAAGAGAUUAUGAAAAUACUAAGGGACUUGUACUAACAGAUUUUUGCAAUACAUCAGCAUGGAAGCACCAAAUAACUGUGUUAGUGGAAUUCAGAUGCAAGUUCUGCAGGAAGAAAAAAAGAAUCUGCUGAGUAACAGUCUGUCAGAUAUGUUAACUGAGAGUGACAACACGAUGUGAUCUGCAAAAAGAGACAAUAAAGACAUUCUACUUACAAAGCA